UAUGGUCACGGGUUGCGACACAGUGGUCGGCCAUUGGACAUUUUGUCCACCUGACAGACAGACGACUUGCUGAAGUAGAGUAUAGCUGCGCUAGCAGCCGGCACGCUGUGCCAGCUGUGCCGCGCAUACUGUCGAUGGCGUGACGUCACUGAGGCAGACGACACUUGUACCCGCAGCAGGAAAUAUCAUCGCCACAGCGGUAACACAUGUUACCUGUCGAGUGGAAUCAACGAGGGACGAAAACGCCGAAGUAUCUAAACAGCUUCUCUACACACACGUGAACGAUAGGAACAGUCUUCUCCUGUUCAAGCUACAGGUGCCAGAUUCUGCACGAAGACUAUCUAUGGGAGAGGUGCGGUACGAACCUGUCGCCAGACGAACAGAUCGGUCCUGGAUGGGCUAGCAGGGGCCCUAGCAGACCCACGGACAAAUGCCCCGAACAGGUCGUAUGACGGAUUUAUAUAUUUUCUGUUGUGUUGCACCGCCUAUACACCCCACUAGAUAGGACCUUCAUGAUGUUUAGGGCCUUAUUGCACCUCUGUCUGAGAUAUUUUAUAUGGGGUACGAAAGCUAGAUAAUCCUCGAUAAAAGCCACUCCACGUUUAAAAAAAAACCCUGAAACGCAGACGUGCGUUGAAAUAUCCAUGCCCGAAUUUUGAUAUGCAAAUGAGCCGAAACCGCGGCGACCCUGAGCGCAGCGCUGAUUUCACGUCAGAGGGUCACGCUGUUUUGGAACGACGGAGAUGAGAUUGGAGUAGGUGUUGAUACGCUGGCCAGGUCAACCGCUAUCGGGCCAGAUCAUCCCACCUCCUCCGUCGCGAAGACGAUGCGCUCUCGAGGCGCGUUGUUUAGGUUUCGGCUCAUUUGUAUAUCGAAAUUAGGCGAUGGAUAUUUCAUGGCACGAUGCUCCUUUCAGGAUUUUUAAAAUAUAGAAUGGAUUUCAACUAGGAUCGUCUCCCAUUCUGCUAUCUCACUUUUGCACGAAAUUCCGUUGAUAGAGAGUUCACUAUUGAAUUUUAUGCAAUGAGCCAUCUUGUACAUACAUACUCCCUUGGAGAGGAUGUCCGUUUAGCCGUAUACCUCAACUUCAAAACCGAUGAAGAUGAUGAUGACGAUUGAAUUUUAUUGGCGCAAAAGGAACGCAGUCUAGAGUGCGUGAAAACAAUGAUAAAAUUGUGGCUGAAAAUCAGACGAUUAUACUAAAAUAAUAUACUUGGUAAACUGAGUGUUACGUGGGGGCAGCUGCGUGGGAGUUGUUUCAGCCUCCUUUGUUCGUCCCCGCUACCAUGCCAGGACCUCGGUGUCAAGUUGCGAAGGCGAGUUCCUGAAACUGAGCCCUCCUGUGGUGUUGAAACGACCAAUGGGACUAACGCGUGUCCAAGACGGAGGUCGUCAGAAUGCUGGGCUCGGGUCCGAUGUCAACAAAAAGGGGAGACAUCGGAGAAAACAGGGUCUUCCUUCCCUCUGACUGGACUCUGGCCGUUCACCCAUGUAUUCUCGCAAUUAAACAGUUAUCUGUUUUCUUUUAACCCUGUUUCGGCUCGCUGGUUAUCCCUUUGGGUCCAAAUCACGCUACCACGGAGGACCCUUGCGACAUGAGAUAAAAACAAAGACAUAAUAUGAUAAAAUAUGCAUAU
Long non-coding RNA from Ornithodoros turicata, 1637 nucleotides. RefSeq lists it as uncharacterized. The record is from RefSeq and is a predicted model, not a curated record. The transcript is spliced from 3 exons. NCBI's taxonomy places the organism in Eukaryota, Metazoa, Arthropoda, Arachnida, Ixodida, Argasidae.